GAUUAUGGCUCAGGAUGAACGCUAGCUACAGGCUUAACACAUGCAAGUCGAGCGGAACUGCUUCGGCAGUUUAGCGGCAGACGGGUGAGUAACACGUAUCCAACCUUCCCCUUACUCGGGUAUAGCCUCGGGAAACUGAGAGUAAUCCCCGAUGUGGUGUACGCUUCGCAUGUAAUGCACACCAAAGAUUAAUCGGUAAGGGAUGGGGAUGCGUUCCAUUAGCUAGUAGGCGGGGUAACGGCCCACCUAGGCGAUGAUGGAUAGGGGUUCUGAGAGGAAGGUCCCCCACAUUGGAACUGCGACACGGUCCAAACUCCUACGGGAGGCAGCAGUGAGGAAUAUUGGUCAAUGGCCGAGAGGAACUGAACCAGCCAAGUAGCGUGCAGGAAUGACGGCCCUACGGGUUGUAAACUGCUUUUGUGCGGGAAUAACGGUCGACACGUGUGUUGAUGUGCAUGUACCGUACGAAUAAGGAUCGGCUAACUCCGUGCCAGCCGCAGC
Molecule: ribosomal RNA, 501 nt
Filed under: uncultured bacterium
Lineage: Bacteria
Description: bacterial SSU rRNA
Rfam family: Bacterial small subunit ribosomal RNA
Source: RNAcentral